UCUUAGUGUUGCACUGCAGUUCACUAGUUGCUGCAUCCAAUGUUCAGGUUAUGGCAUUAAAAGUAGUACAGCAUGUAUCUUUAGUUACUCAGGGCAGCACAGCAAUUAACUCAGAAUGGAUUAAUGUUGUCUCAGAGAUCCUUCUGCUUUUGUUUUAAAAAGCUUUUAUGUGCUUUAAAACCUUUCAAGUGAAGUUCUUGCAAGAUUUUCCAUCAUUUGUUUCUAUCUCAGGUAUCUUUUAUCUAUUGGGAUCUGAUGGAAAUCUAAUCAAUUAGAAUCCAAACAACAUAUCUGAAAGUCUCUUGCAAAAUGAUGCUUAUGAUGCUGCAUUUAGUGGUAUCUUCAAGUUUGUUUUCUGUUGUAUAAAUAGAAAUAUAAGGCAUGUUGAAUCCACCAUCAUUCAUUUUCUCGCCUUUAUUAUCAUCUUAUGCUUUAGACGUGGUCAGCACCUUAUCAGGAAAGUGUGUGCAUGUGGAGGAAUGUCGUUGUCUCCAGAACUGUUACCUUACUUUGCCAGAAGCUGUUAAACCACAGGAAGGCAUUUGGGUGUGUAGGUCAGGGAGUGAGGAAUUAGCGGGUCCCAAGGGAAAGUAUGCAAGUGUCUUGUAAAAAGAAAAUCGAGUUUCAACAAAGACCUCAUCAAGUUUACUGCACUGUUGGCUAGAAAGUACUGUCUGAGGAAAGUUAGUCUAAGAAAGAUUGGAGCAGUUGUAUCCUAAUUAGCAUACUGCUUUAGGCAUGGGGCCCUAUAAGAUUCUUAUUGUAUGAUAGCAUUGAUUUUCAUACAAGAUGAAAAAUGUACAUGAUCGACUUGCUUUCAUAUAUUAGCAUAUUGAAAUAUAGGUUACAAUUAUGUUAUCUUAUACAUUUUUGUAAAUGACCUUUUGAUCGUAGACUUGGACGUCUUUAUGCUUCAUUAAAAUUACUGUUUUUUGUUAAACAUGUUUGUUGGGCAUUAUAUCACAUAUUUUUGCUUUUCUACUCUUAAUAGAGUAAAAUUAAUAGAGUAAAAAUGUAUAAUUAAUAGAGUAAGUAAUUUGACUAACUUGGUUAGUCAAGUUAUUUACUUAGGUAGAGCCUGUAGUCAGCUACUUAUGACAUUCUUCCAGCUUCCUAACUGUAGUUUUAAAUCAAUGUUACCUUAAGAAAAGUGAUGGUUGUCAAUAUUGAUAUCAGGUUAUUUAUCAUGCAGUUUUAAGAUUUUGCAAGUUAGACCAAAUUGAAGCAAACUCUGAAACAAUUAACUUCUAUUUGAAACAAUAAAACAAGAAGGAGAAAUGAGAAGAAUUAAAAUGAAACUGACGUAAAUUUAGAAUUCCAGUUUAAAGGACAAAGAAAACACAACAUAGUUGCUUAAGGUUGUCAAACUCCAGUAGUAAUCGUGUUCCUUUGAAUUAAGCUGAAAGGCUAUUAAUGAGCCUUUCUGGUAUGGCCUUGAUCCUCAGUUUAGACUAAUAGUUUAUGCUGCUUGAUGAGCUAGUUGGGGAUUCUGUGGUAUUCUUUUAGCUUCUGGCUGCUGAACCAGUUGGUAACAAUUUUCUCCUUUCCUGACAACUUGAGAAACAGACCUCAAAAGGCAGUAAGUAUUUAGAUUCUAGAUUUAAUGAAUCUAGUUGCAUGUCUGAAUGGAGUGGGUGUGCAUGGUCUGCAGUGAGUACAAGAGAGCAGUGCAGCAACAGACAAGGUCAGGUGACAAAAACGGUUGGUCCAUCUGUUGUCAAAACUCAAAGGAGCAGUGACAAGGUUUGUAGCACUGAAUAGACUAAGUGUAGGAGGAAAAGGACUAUGCUCUGUUUCUGUCCUCUGGGAGACUAUUACAGCAAAGACAUUCAGUUACAGACCUAUAAGCAGCAGUGUGAGAAGUCUUUGAUAAAAAUCCCAACUGUGAAUUAAAAGGCAUUUGCCCUAAUUUAAUUUAAACACAAUAAAGUAGAUGUUAGAAAGCAAGACUUGCAGGUGUUUGUCAUUUGCUGACUUCUCACAGCAUGUAAAUUGAAGUUUAUAUGGCCUAUAUAAAAAGUUUGAAGGCAGUUUUAAAAUGCACCAUGUGUAUAAUCCUUGAGUUCUAGUUUAAUAUAAUAUAGAAUCAAGGAUAUUAUUAUAAGUGAUGGAUUGAGGAUGCUCUUGCAUUUAAAUCUUGUCCGAUAUCUGCUAAUAUUGCUUUGUGGGUGAUAUUUACACAUAUACAUUUUCCUUCCCUUUCAGCGUGGUAAAAAAAUUGCAACUCUGCUGACAUUGCUUCUCUGUUUCAAUUAAAAACCCAACAAUACUUGAGUUUUUAAUUACUAUCACUGUCACAUGACCAAACAGUUAACCCACUCCUCUCCUCCCUCCGUAACACAAACGGCAACAGGAUGGAAAUAAACAUUGGUUAUCGGGCCAGUUUUGUGAUACUGAUUUUAAUGCCGAUAUAUUGUGCAUGUCCCAACCAAUCAAUCAGUGAUUAGAACCUGCCAAGCAUCGUGUCCCAUGAUAAAUUAAUGCAUCAAAAUUUUAUCUUCCCACCAUUUCAGUCUGUAAACACAUCAACAACGAGAAUAUGCUUCAAUGCAUUUUUAGUUGUUAGUUGUAUUUUUUUAUUUUAUUUUCUUUAAUUAAAAGUAGCUUUUUUUUAAUCACCUAACUGUCACCCCCAAAACUCAAGAGAACACCCUUGUCCUCAUGACAGUUAUAGCUUUGUUUUUGGUCAAAUUUUAAUUCUGUCGCUUUUGAAUUAGUUUUGUAAAAUGCAACUCAAGCCAUCUUAGAAAUGUUCCAUUGCAAGUGAAGGUAGCAAUAUAAUGACACAAGAAAAACUGAUGCGUCUCAGUCUUUAUUUGUUUCUCAUUCCCUUCCACUAUCACAACAUAAACAGCACAACUGGUUUUAAACUGAAACUCUAAACACACAAUCAAAUUCUUGUGGGC
Long non-coding RNA from Xiphophorus couchianus (Monterrey platyfish), 2906 nucleotides. RefSeq lists it as uncharacterized. The record is from RefSeq and is a predicted model, not a curated record. The transcript has 2 exons. Lineage: Eukaryota; Metazoa; Chordata; Actinopteri; Cyprinodontiformes; Poeciliidae.